Molecule: long non-coding RNA, 188 nt
Organism: Exaiptasia diaphana
Lineage: Eukaryota; Metazoa; Cnidaria; Anthozoa; Actiniaria; Aiptasiidae
Exons: 2
Source: RefSeq, a predicted model, not a curated record
AAGAGUCGUGGUGAGAAUGAUGACUAUUAUUCUGAUCCUGAAAUCCAACCCAACACCAACCUUUCGUCCCAGCAGCUUUUACGGUUUGGUUGGAAUAUUGCUGAUGGAAUGGCGUAUCUUGCUUCUCAGAAGAUAAUUCACCGCGAUUUGGCUGCUCGUAACGUUUUGGUUGGAGAAGGUCUUGCUUG